AAUGAACGCUGGCGGCAGGCCUAACACAUGCAAGUCGAACGGUAACAGGAGGAGCCUUGCUUCUUGGCUGUCGCGUGGCGGGGGGGAGUGUAAUGUCUGUAACACUGCCUGAAGGAUGGGGAAAACUACUGGAAACGGUAGCAAAUACCGCAUAACGUCUCAACACCAAAAUUGAGGACCUUCAGGCCUCUUUCCAUCCGCUGUGACCGGAUGGGAUUAGCUAGUAGGUAGGGUAACGGCUCACCUAGGCGACGAUCCCUAGCUGGUCUGAGAGGUUGACCGGCCACACUGGAACUGAGACACGGUCCAGACUCCUACGGGAGGCAGCAGUAGGGAAUCUUGCGCAAUGGGCGAAAGCCUGACGGAGCAAUGCCGCGUGUAUGAUGAAGGUCUUCGGAUCGUAAAGCUCUGUUAUUAGGGAAGAACAGAGGUGUAAGAAAAUGUGCACAUCUUGACGGUACCUAAUGAGAAAGCAACGGCUAACUACGUG
Molecule: ribosomal RNA, 490 nt
Filed under: uncultured bacterium
Lineage: Bacteria
Description: partial 16S ribosomal RNA
Rfam family: Bacterial small subunit ribosomal RNA
Source: RNAcentral